GUACCCACAAUUACUUGGAUAACUGUGGUAAUUCUAGAGCUAAUACAUGCAAACAWAGCUCCAACCGGAGACGGAAGGAGUGCUUUUAUUAGAUCAAAACCAAUCGGUGGCGAGUUCGCUCGUCAUCGUUCAACUUGGUGACUCUGAAUAACUUUACGCUGAUCGCACGGUCUCGCACCGGCGACGCAUCUUUCAAAUGUCUGCCUUAUCAACUGUCGAUGGUAGGUUCUGCSCCUACCAUGGUUGUAACGGGUAACGGGGAAUCAGGGUUCGAUUCCGGARAGGGAGCCUGAGAAACGGCUACCACAUCCAAGGAAGGCAGCAGGCGCGCAAAUUACCCACUCCCGGCACGGGGAGGUAGUGACRAAAAAUAACGAUACGGG
Molecule: ribosomal RNA, 383 nt
Filed under: Heteroglymma cimex
Lineage: Eukaryota; Metazoa; Arthropoda; Insecta; Coleoptera; Curculionidae
Description: SSU rRNA
Rfam family: Eukaryotic small subunit ribosomal RNA
Source: RNAcentral